AUGCAGAUACACACAGCACAGCUAGUUUCAAAAUUAAACCACAAUGAAAACUGUCACUACUGACAAGGAACUAUGCAAAGACCUUCGGUCUCAGGCCCUUGCUCACUCAGGAGUACCUUGAGACCUGUUUCUUCCUGUUCAGCUGCAGUCACGGUUCUAACCUGGUUCUUCUCACGGCUGGUAUCCUCUGACCUUUUAUGUCUUGGCAAUGACUUCCAUGCAUUUUGGCAGUGACUGCCUGAAUCUCUGAUUCAACCCUGAUCGCAGCCUCUCGGGCUUUCUCGCUCCUUUAAUUCUUUCCGCGGAUGGCCACGGCUUUUGCCGCCUGUACCCUUCCUGGAGCAACCCGUGCUUUUGAAAAAUGACCAUGCCGAAGGGGAACUAACACUCCCAGCCUGGUGCGGGUCUUGUCAAUCUGAUUUUUAAAUGAUGGAGGAGGAGGUUUGAGGACAAAGCUCAUGGUGGCAUUACCACUAUCAGGGACGCUGCAAAGAUCAAGUGAAAAGGGGAAAAGGCUCUUCUCAAUGUGAGCACAUUCACAGGCUCUGAGAACAGAGAGGUAUUUAAAGUGAACUGGAACAAACCUGCAACAUCCGGUGCGUUCUGCCUUCAAAAAUAGCUGCCAGUUAGAAAGGGUUAUUUACAUAUUGAUUUCAUGCUAACUUUGUAAUGGAAUGUGCUGCCUGCCUGCCUGCCUGAGACCUAACAACUGUCAUCAUAAUUUUUUCUAAAAAUACAGUCAGAGAAAAACACUCAUUGAACCCUCCACUGGAAAGUAGCUGCAAAAGACCCCCUGAUCCCAAACCUGCUUGACAGACCACAGCCAAGGGCAGGGACACUCAACAACUGUAAACGAGGAACAUUUCACAGCGGCAGCUGGCCCCUCUCUUCUUCCAACCAGCCAAUAUUUUUUGUCUUUCUAGAAAACCUGUCUUGUUCAAAGGGCGGCAAGUGCAGCCUGAGAGCCCUCCACGGCCUGAUUGCUGAAAGAAUUUCCAAAAGGAAAGAGUGUAAACAGGGAUGAAGACACGAUAGCGCCAGUGGGUGGAAUGAGUUGCCCAAGGACUUUCAGUGAGUGGCAGUGUCAGAUGGAAGACUUUUUAGCUACGAGGGUCUAAAAAAGAAGUAUCCCAAGUCACCUACAAGUAAUACACCUACACCUUUUGCUGUUAGAGAAGAGCAGAUCUUUGAUUAAGCUCAAUGCUCAUGGCCACCCAGGUUUCUUGGCAGUUUGGGAUGUGUACACAACCGCUGUCCUUCUGCAUCCCAUAUUUAGGGCCACAAUGGGAAUUAUGACACUCAAGCCUUGUGUAGCGCUUUAUAUUUUCAGAGUGCUUUCAAAUAUAUAAUUUGAUCCUUAUGAC
Molecule: long non-coding RNA, 1364 nt
Organism: Homo sapiens (human)
Lineage: Eukaryota; Metazoa; Chordata; Mammalia; Primates; Hominidae
Product: long intergenic non-protein coding RNA 1685
Source: Ensembl